CGCCGGUCACCCGGAAGGUCACCGGGGUGCCGGCCAGCAGCCGGCGCAGCGCGUCCAGGGGCGCGUAGUCGCCGCUCAGGGCCGGCGCCCGGUGGCC
Molecule: transfer RNA, 97 nt
Filed under: Alcanivorax sp. ALC70
Lineage: Bacteria; Pseudomonadati; Pseudomonadota; Gammaproteobacteria; Oceanospirillales; Alcanivoracaceae
Description: tRNA-Ala
Source: RNAcentral